This 326-nucleotide unclassified non-coding RNA is filed under the name Hevea brasiliensis (rubber tree). The record is from RNAcentral. Lineage: Eukaryota; Viridiplantae; Streptophyta; Magnoliopsida; Malpighiales; Euphorbiaceae.
AUCUCUUAUUGAAUACUUAACGUAAAUUUACCAAACAGCGAGAUAAACCCCUGACUUCCCUAUACUUAUCAAUUCGAGCUCAGUGCUCUUAUUGACUCUAAUUAUUAAUUGAGUUGGUAUUAAGCAAUUCUUAUCAAAUUAAUAAUUGCUUUAAGAAAAGGUAGUAGUUAAGCUAAACAACAAUUUAUGAAGCAUAAAUUAUUUAAUUCACCCUAUUGUUUCCUUAGGUUAUUAUCGAAAACUGGGAUCAUAAUCAAUAAAACCUAAUUGCUACUCAUGUUCAAUUUUGCACAACAAUUACAGAUUAUGAAGAUGAACUAGCAAUU